RNAcentral lists this ribosomal RNA (490 nucleotides) under uncultured bacterium. Its description in RNAcentral is "partial 16S ribosomal RNA". It matches the Rfam family "Bacterial small subunit ribosomal RNA", at positions 28 to 507 of the family's 1533-position model. The record is from RNAcentral.
GAUGAACGCUAGCUACAGGCUUAACACAUGCAAGUCGAGGGGCAGCAUGGUCUUAGCUUGCUAAGGCCGAUGGCGACCGGCGCACGGGUGAGUAACACGUAUCCAACCUGCCGUCUACUCUUGGACAGCCUUCUGAAAGGAAGAUUAAUACAAGAUGGCAUCAUGAGUCCGCAUGUUCACAUGAUUAAAGGUAUUCCGGUAGACGAUGGGGAUGCGUUCCAUUAGAUAGUAGGCGGGGUAACGGCCCACCUAGUCUUCGAUGGAUAGGGGUUCUGAGAGGAAGGUCCCCCACAUUGGAACGGAGACACGGUCCAAACUCCUACGGGAGGCAGCAGUGAGGAAUAGUGGUCAAUGGGCGAGAGCCUGAACCAGCCAAGUAGCGUGAAGGAUGACUGCCCUAUGGGUUGUAAACUUCUUUUAUAAAGGAAUAAAGUCGGGUAUGGAUACCCGUUUGCAUGUACUUUAUGAAUAAGGAUCGGCUAACUCCGUG